CAAGAUGUCAAGUGAUCUCUAUACUCUUUUACUUAAUCUUGCCUUUUUAAAAUCCAAAUCCCUCAAUUGCUACCUCCCAAAACCCUAAUUCAUUUAUCUUUAUCAUCUCAGAUCUCUUUUUGGGCGGAUGUUUAAAGAGCACUUUAUGUCGUUCUCUCUAUAUACUCUCCACAACUCAUAUUUGAGCUCUUGGUGAAUGUUGUAUUAAGUUCAAGGAAAUUAAGUUGCAGACAUACUUGCAAUCUCUCGGUUCGUUUGAAGUGCUUAAUAUUGCCUUUGAAUUGGUCUAGGAUUGCUUAUUUGACAAAUAGUAUCUGGAUAUGGAAUCAGGACAACAAUCAGGGGCAUCCUUGUCUCAAAAAGGCUUGACUGAUGAUCUGCUCUCAAAUUCCAGCAACAUAAAUGCCGUUAGUACUGUCAAGAAGCUUCUGUUUCGUCGAAUGUUGGUGGGUGUGAAUGAUGGAAGAUUUUUCAUGGGGAACUUUCAUUGCAUGGAUAAGCAAGGCAACAUAAUUUUGCAAGAUGCCCUAGAGUUUCGAAGCCUAAGACGGUCAUCUCCGUCACCUAUGGAACAACGUGGACUUGGUCUUGUUCUCAUCCCCUCAUCAUGUCGAACCUCUUGCCAUAUUGAUUGCUCUGUGGAUGAACAAUUAUCAUUGCUCUUAAUCAAGGACGAUUAGUUGUAGUAGAUGUGAUUGUUCCCCUGUCCAUAUUUUGUUCACUAUGUAGAAUACAUUAAAAAACAUGGAAUUAAGGUUUUGGCAAUGCUAUUAGUAUUGUUAAAUGCAUAAUAAAAAAACUUCAAUUGUCAACCUAUUAACCCCUGCCUCUUUCAAAUUGCUUUGUGUAUUAAGAUGGGAAAUAUUUUGUAUUCUUAUUUCAUCUCUUUUAGGAUCUCGGGUAUUGACAAUCUCUCGAAUUCCUUUAGGGAGACGGAUGUUUGAGAUUGAAGAUGAAGAGGACUUGUUGCAAGUGGUUGUUAAGAACUGAGCUAUUAAGUUGUGAAUAAGUGAUUGAUUGCUUUUAAGUUUUGCGCAUCGCAAAAGAAUUCAUAAACUAAGAUCGGAAUGUGAGAGUAUAAACAAGUAAUGUGGAAACAAGUAAUAGCCAGUGUGCCGGAAUACUUGUUCAUUGAAACACAUUUAUUGGUUUUCUUUUUUAAUUUUUUUCUACAUCUUGAAUUUUCAUGGGUAUUACUAAUUCCAUCUCAUUUCUUCGUCUAUAAAUCUUGGUUCGCUAUCCUCGUUUUGAUAAGAGUUAUUGAGCCGCUAUGUGUGUUAGCUUUGGCUGUUGCCAUGCCGCAUGCCAGCUUCCACUUCUAAUAUAGUUGUAUGUCCCAUUCUGACUUUUGGUACUUUCUCUUUCUCGUAGGAAUUUGAUUAUCUGAUGUGGAAAUUUUCAUCUGCAGCUAGAAGGGACCAGUCGAUUCAUUGCACUUUCUUUGAUAUCAGCAAAACUGGUCUUUUUUGUAAGGUUUUGGUGCCUUCCAAGCUUGGGAGGGGUAAGUGUCUACAGCACCCUGCUCUUCCUGCAUGCAUAGCCUUUGUAUUUCUGUUUUUCAAUAUUGUUCACCACUGAUGGCUUGAUGAUUUGAUGACUACAAUUUCACUAAGCAUGGUAUGUUUUGGCUCCAAAAAUAAAAUAGUGCGGUAACCUUAAUCCCUAUAUUAUAAAUUCAGUAGCUCUAAUAAUAAAAGCAUUAUAUUUGAUUUUUACUUUAACGUCAUCAAGGUGAUGGAAUACUAUUGUUGGCAUGCUUAAUUUCUUAACAACUAGAGCAUUAUAUUUGAUUCAAUAAAACGGUGUUAUUUUAUCAUUCUAUGGAUGAAUUUCAAACAACAAAUAAAAUGGUCAAUAAAACUAUCAAUAAUACUGUUAAAACAUUGCAUAAUAUAAGUACUAUUAUUCAAUACAUAUAUGAUGGUUUUAAUAGAAUAUAAGAGUACUUAUACUCUUUAAUCAUCGAUUAAUAAUAGUGAUAUUGCUCUUUCCUAAACAGUUUCUGUUCAUAAUGGAAUUGGAAAUAAAGUUGUAGGUGUAAUGUUUGUUUACCCUGAAUGUGAAGGUGGAGAAGUUUUGAUUUUGAAUUAUGUUUGCCAAUUAAUUCAAUGAAUGCUCUUUGAAAUGACCAAGAGUUUAAGGCUUUUUUGUUAUAAAAAUUUUCAAUUUUGUUUUAAGAAUGAUCAAUUCAGACCUUAAAGUGAUUAAUUAUGAUCAGUUAUAACUUAUAAAAGAAUUUAAUUAUAAUCUUAAAUGUGUCAAUUAUGACCUUAAAUAGAUUAAGUACUAAACGCAUAUUGAGAAUAAUUAUAAUUGGUCUGAUUGGCUAUUCUUCUCACAUUGAGACGGUCUCGUCCAAGACUAGCUGAUAAGGAUUAACUCAAUUUGGGCCCUUCAUGAGCUGAGUCCUAGACAGUUGCACCUCAAAAACUACUCUUAGGAACGGCCCAGUCGGUAAUUCAAGGUGAACCAUCAUCAAUACAAACCUUAUCACAAAAACUAUUAGACGCCCACUUCGCAGACGAAGAGUGACUGCAUUACAACCUUGAUAACUGUAUCGCAAAACCUAGAAAUGGCUAGAGUUAUCAAUGACACAUUGAGCAUCUCUUUC
RNA transcript from Amaranthus tricolor (Joseph's coat), 2611 nucleotides. RefSeq lists it as uncharacterized. The transcript is spliced from 4 exons. The record is from RefSeq and is a predicted model, not a curated record. Lineage: Eukaryota; Viridiplantae; Streptophyta; Magnoliopsida; Caryophyllales; Amaranthaceae.